UCUAUCCUGGGAGGGGGACAACCGUGGGAAACUACGGCUAAUACCGCAUGAUCCCUGAGGGGCAAAGGCGAAAGUCGCCUGAGGAGGAGCUCGCGUCUGAUUAGGUAGGUGGUGGGGUAAAGGCCUACCAAGCCUGCGAUCAGUAGCUGGUCUGAGAGGAUGAUCAGCCACACUGGGACUGAGACACGGCCCAGACUCCUACGGGAGGCAGCAGUGGGGAAUAUUGGACAAUGGGCGAAAGCCUGAUCCAGCAAUGCCGCGUGGAUGAAGAAGGUCUUCGGAUUGUAAAGUCCUUUUGGCGGGGACGAUGAUGACGGUACCCGCAGAAUAAGCUCCGGCUAACUUCGUGCCAGCAGCCGCGGUAAU
Molecule: ribosomal RNA, 366 nt
Filed under: uncultured Acidiphilium sp.
Lineage: Bacteria; Pseudomonadati; Pseudomonadota; Alphaproteobacteria; Acetobacterales; Acidocellaceae
Description: bacterial SSU rRNA
Rfam family: Bacterial small subunit ribosomal RNA
Source: RNAcentral